AUUUAUUUAUGCAAUCUACAAUCGCAACUAUGUGAAAACAUAUGACACAUGACUAACACGGCAUUAUAAUAAGCAUUCCAAAAUUCAAUAAUUGUAAAGUAACUGAAGUUAAGUGAUAGAAAAGACAAAGAAGGUUUAUUCAACAUCGCUUACGAAAGCUUAAAAAAUCAUGAAGUGAUAAAACAAAUUAUCUACUUGCAAAAUUGUUAUAUGUAAGAAAAUAGUAAUGUUUUAAAUAAAAAUAUUAUUUACGAAGUAGCUGAAAGAUGGACCAAGUUUUUAUCGAUGAACGACAAGAUAUACAGAAAAAGACAUUCACCAAAUGGAUCAAUAGUCAUCUUUCAAAAUCAAACACAUGUGUUAUUAGCAAUCUAUUCGAAGAUUUGCGCGAUGGAAAUGCAUUGCUUUCUUUAUUGGAAGUUCUAACCAAUCAAGCAUACAAACGCGAAAAGGGUUCCAUGAGAGUACAUCAUAUUAAUAACAUAAAUAAGGCGCUAGCCGUUCUACAAAAGAAUGGAGUGAGAUUGGUGAAUAUAUCCAGUGAUGAUAUAAAUUCAGGUAACGCAAAGCUUACACUUGGACUAGUUUGGUUAAUUGCUUUGAGUUUCGACGGUCAUAAACUUUUGAAGUCGGAAGCAAUUAGUGGAAUUGAAAUAUCUUUACUCAAUUGGGUUCGACCAAUCGUAGAAAAACAUAAUGUUAAGGUUCACGACUUUGCCAGCAGUUGGUCUGAUGGGAUGGCUUUCUUCGCAAUUCUUUGUGAAUGCGUUGAUAUACUGGAUUUUAAUAUGGUUGUUCAAUUAAACCCGAUUGCGCGAUUGCGAAUGGCAUUUGAUUUAGCCUAUAAUCGUUUAGGUAUUGAACCACUGUUAGACCCAGAAGAUGUUAAUACUAAUGAACCGGAUAAAAAAUCAAUACUUAUGUAUGUGAUGAGUCUUUACAAUGUAAUCGAUUCAAGAAAUUUGAAGCAUGACGAUUUGCAGCUUUCGACAAAACACGAUGAAAACUUGGAGGAAAUAAAAUUGCUUACUGAUGAUAAAAUGAAUGGCUACACAAAACAAGAUUCUGAUUGUAAGUUCAAAUGCAGCUGUCAAAAUGUAGUAACUUAUUCAUGUGACAGGGGAAAUUUGUCGGAACUUUAUUUAGUGAAAUCGAUUGAUGAUUUGCGCAAUUUUAAUGAAGAAAAUAAAACGCAAGAGCUAUUUCAGAGCAAACCACUUAUUAAAAUUGUGGAACACACAGAAGCAGUAUAUUCUAAUGUUAAGCUAAAUGAGUCGAUUGUUUCGAUAAGAAGUGAUCGAGAGCAAAUAUCUUCACGUCCCGUUUCGACAGUGACUAAUUUAUCAAUAGAAUUUAACAGUUAUCAGUCAACUCUAGAGGAUGUGUUAGAUAUGUUGCUUAAAGCAGAAGAAAUAUUUACUAGAGAUGUAACGGAGUCGAAUGAUUUAAUGAUAGUGAAGAGACAUUUCCAUGAACAUGAAGAAUUUAUGACAAAACUUUCCGAAUACCAAACAUUUGUGUGUGGAGCUCUCGAUGAUGGAUCACGGUUGAUAAGUGAAGCGAAUUUGAAUACCAAAUCUCAAGGAAUGGACAUUGGAAGCCAAAUUGAAAUCAAACAACAGUUGUUUCUUUUGAAUGAACGAUGGGAAAUUCUGAGAGUGAACGCAUUAGAACGUCAGACUAAAAUUCAUAGCAGAUUGGCUUGGCUACAAAUAGAAAACGUUGAACAACUGAGAUUGUUUCUUUGCACUAUUGAAGACAGAGUAUCACGAAUGAACGGUGUCUGCCGGACCCCAAUGGAACUAAAGAUUCAAUUAGAAGAUCUCAUUCGCCUACAACACGAUAUGGAAAAUCAAAAGAAUUUGAUUAAUAGUCUUAAUAAUUUAGUUAUUAUUAUUGAUUCUAAUAGCUUCAUCGAUUUUGAGAACAUGUUAUCCGCCUUAGAAAAACGAUGGUUUCAUGUAACAAAAUGGAUAGCAAGUAGAUGGAAUCAGUUACAGACAUUAUGCUAUAGAUGGACUAAGCUUUCAGAACGAUAUCAUAUUAUUUGCCAAUGGAUUCAUUGUCGCCAACAAAACCUUAAAAAAAUGGGAACAAAUGAAUCUGUUAAAGUGGUAUCGAUUAUGGAACGAAUCGAAUGUUUACAAUAUUGCAAGCAAGAUCUAACAACUCUUAUCCAUUAUUUAGAUGACUUAGACAGUGCUGCACAAUGUCUCAGCAAUGAAGGAUAUUCAUCUCUUAAUGUAAUGAAAAUAGAACAUUUGACUAACAUGUGCGAUGCUCUCGUUCGAACAUUAGAAGCACAAGAAGUACGUGUCUUGAAUACGGGCUUUCAAAUACCGGUUUUAAUAAAGAGCGAUGACGAGCGAAAAAACAGUGUUUUAAAACCUGCCUCGUGGGAAGAUUUUCAGACAAAAAUGUUUGAAGAGAUAGAUAGUAAAGUGGAUGAAAUUGACAUGAAUAAUAUUAACACUUCCACAUAUAUCCAUAUUCCUCAACCAGAAAAAAAAACUAAACCCGCACAAUCGGAAUCAUAUGCUGAAUUUAAUGAAUUGUUGAAUGAGUUGGACAUUGCAUUGAAGGAGUGUAUGUUAACAUUGGAUACAAUAGAUAAUGUUGAUUCACAGAAAAAAAUAUCACUACUUGAACAUUGUGAAGCCGCUGUGAUUGAAAAAAAGAAAGAUUACGUGAGAGCUCAAGAAAUGUUUCUUCUAUGCAAUGUAUUGCCGCAUAUGGAUUUGAGUAUCGAAAGUAAACGACUAGAAGAUAUAGGCGUUUCAUUCAAUGCACUUCAAACCAAACUGUAUGAGAUCGGCAACAAGGAUAAAUUUAGUAGAAGUCUAACUGAAUUCAAACUUCUUUUAGUAGAUAAUCGAAAUUGGUAUCAACAGAGUUCAAACUUGAUAACUAUCGAUGAUCUUGAAAGACGUUUAUCAAUUAUGGAUUACUUCCAACCUAAAAUUGAGGAGAAUCAACAAAUUCUGGCCAAUAAUAAUGAAGACGAUUGGCGAGCUUUUAACAUCGAUUUCAAUCUCUUCGUAGAAAGUUGGAAUGAUAUGAAAAAGGUCGUUGGUCGUGUGAUAAUUGAAAAAAAUGGUUACAAGGAACUCAGUGAACAUAUUCAACGAGUUCAUGAAUUGGUUAGUGAAAUAGAUAGUCUAUCGGUAGUCAAUAUAGAUUUAAAAAGUAUGCAAAUCACUCUAGGGAGAAUGAAUUUUCUUGAAACAAUGUACAACGAACUACUUGAUGAAAGUGGCGAUGAAAUAAUUGCCCAUCUGUCUGCUGAUACUAGAUUUGAAAAGCCCUUAACAGAAUGGUAUAGCGUUCUCCGGCUGUUGAAUGACAGUAUUAGAAAACAAAACAUUGCUUUAGAAUACAUAAACAAUUUCAACAAGGAAUGUGAGAACAUUCGUGCUUCACUAGAUAAAAUAGAUUCCAAUUUGGAUGAACUCUUUUUAUUAGGUGAAGUAAAACAUCUGAAGUAUGCAAAGUAUGAACAACUUACAACGGACAUUAAAAGAGUAGAAAAUGACAUAAUUGGCAUAAAAAAGUUGUAUGAAAUCAUGGCAGAACAUGGCGAUGAAACUUCUUUAAACUUACGAAUCUGUGUACUUUCCGACCGUUAUUCAAGCAUCAUCACACGUUACGAAAAAAAAAUUAACAAACUUAACAUUGAAACCAGUGCAACAAGUAUUCUAGCACGAGUUUAUGAAAUGGGGCUGUGGUUGAAUAAUUUAGAAAAGAACACUCCCAAGAUACUUAAUUCCGAAAUAGCUAACCUCAAUGAGCUUUAUCAGAUAAAAUCUAAGUUCCAAGCGUUGAAGGAGACAUGUGAACAACAAACUAACAAAUUCCGUGAGUUGAAUGAAAUAGGCAAUGAACUAUUGUUGAAGAUCGACGAAAUGGUCCAAGAAAAACCGGAAAGCAAGUUUAUAUGUCUCGUCACCAAAUUUACCAAGCUCAACGCAUAUUGGACUGAAGUGACAACUUUGGUGUAUUCAAAAACUGCAUUUCUGGAACACAUUACGAGCCAAAUUGGUGAAUUCAAAACGCUGACAGUUGCUACCGAGGGAUAUCUGGAUAAACUCGAAAAAUUAUUGCGCAGAAGCUCGGAAAGUGCUGCAGAUGUUGAGGAAAUAUCAGAAGAACUUGAUACCAUCGAAAAUUAUAUUCGAAAUCACCCAAAACAACGUUUUGACAAAAUAUUCGCCUUAGGAAAGGAAUUGUGUAGCUUGAAAUUUAUGGUUGUCUUAGUCGAAGAGGAUCAACGUACUAUUACUGAACGUUGGAAUAGUUUACAAGCUCUGGCGAAACAACGCACGGCCAAACUUGAACAAGCUAUGAAAGAGGCUCAAUCAUCCGAAAGUCAAGUAUCUUAUAUGCAGCAAUGGAUUUUCCGAAUUAACGAGACAUUGAACGAUACGACAACAGAAAACAUUCCGCAUGAAAUUCAAAAACUUCAAAACGAUUUUGAAUACCAUAAAAAAGUUCUUCUAGACAUGGCACAAAAAGUGGAUCAUUAUAAAUGUGAAGGCAAAAUAGAAGCAGCUAAUCGAUACCAAGAUCAAGUUGAAUUACUUCAAGAUCUAUUUAAAUGUUGCCUACACAAGUUUUAUCGGCUCUCAUCUGAGCAAACGGCUUUUGAAACCAAGCUAAAUCUGGCGCUUGUAGAGAUUCAUCAUGCGGAAAAAGGUGCAACGAUUCUAGAUAUAGCAUUUGCAGGGCCCGCACAUUUACAAGAUCAGUUUCAGCGUAGCUUAAAAAUAUAUAAAUAUUUAUCCGAGAUAAAAAGUGAAAUAGAACAAAUCAUUCGGGCCGGUAGAAAAAUUUGUGCAGACGAAGGAACUAUAAAUCCUUCGAAAUUGGGGCAACGAAUAGACACAUUAAAGCAUUUAUAUAAUUCCCUUGGCGAAACUGUAACUCAAACAAAACAAAUUUUAGAGAAUUUAUCAAAGAUACACCGCGAUCUGGACGAUAAUCUGAAUGAAGUUGAACAUUGGAUCUAUGAAAUUAGUGAUUUAAGACAACCAACUAAUGAAGAACUAAGUGUUACAAUAGGGAAAAUAAUGACAUGUACAAAACUUUAUGAUGAAUAUAGACAAGUUUGUCGUGAAAUAUAUUUAGAAGAUGUAAAAGUUCGUAUAGAAAACGCUAAAAAACGAUUAAUGUUUAUUGGAAACCGGGGGGUGAAAGAAAAGUUGCAUAGUAUCAAAAAUUCAUCAUUAAACGUGGAUUCUGUAAACAGUGAUUUAUUGAGAUAUAUAAAGCCAGAUCUCAACAGUGUGGAAUCGAAUAAUGAUGAAGAUGCUGAGGACUUCAUUGUGAAGAUGUCAAAAAUGUUACAAAUAAAACAACAAGAGUUGAAACUUGCACUCACAAUUGCAUCGCAAGCCAGAUAUAACGUUAUAGAUAUUGAAAUUAUGGAUAUGCUAGAAAAGGUUAUCAAGGAGCUCUCUGAUCAUUGUGAUAAAGUUGUAAAUGCAGUAUCAAUUCUAAACUGUGUCGAAAACCUUGAAAAUGAUCGAUCGAGUCCCAAUACUACAGUCACAAGUCAAGAUUCCAAAUCUUAUGUACCUGGGUCUUCCACCACAAAAUUAAAUGCUAAAAAUGUUGCAUUAAUUAAUAUCUUUGAACAGUCAGUCACUCAUAUCAUAAAUUGGUUAAACAUUGGACUUGAAAUGAUAAACAAGCACUCUGUUGUAGUUGGUGACAGUGACAUGGUAAUGGACGCAAUAGAUAAACAAAAGAACAUGCUCUUUGAAUUGGAUAUAAAUAAACCGAAGCUUGAACAAUUAACUAUCACAUCAAAGAAUGUUGCAAUAGACGUUGAAAUACAGCAUCUACUUAGUAAAGUUACACAAAUCCGAGAAAAAUGGGACGAAACCUCUCAAACUGUUCUUCAAAGAAAAUCUCAGCUGAACGCAAUGCUAGGUGAUUCACAUAGGUAUGAGUCAAAACGCGCUGAAAUUGAUAAUUGGAUGACUCGUAUGGAAUUACGCUCAGAUAAAAUGGGAGCUGUUGCAACAACAGCAGAUGUACUAGAAAUACAACAGAAGGAACAAAAGUCAUUUCAUGCAGAAAUUCAUCAGUUUAAACACCAGGUCGAACUUUUUAAUCAACUAACGCAGAACUUAAUAGCAGUUUAUCCAUCAGAUGAUACAUCUCGUAUAAAAAGAAUAACUGAAUCUGUCAAUCUACGGUAUAACAACUUGAAUAAUGCUGUGAUCUCUCGAGGGAAAUUGUUACACGCAGCUGUUCACUCAUUGCAAUCGUUUGAUAGAACAUUAGACAAAUUUUUGGGUUGGUUGAGCGAAACCGAAUCUUUGUGUGAAAACACUGAAUCUGAUAUCGACAGGAAUCCAAAUUGUUAUAAGGAUCUCAAAUCAGAAAUCGAGUCGCAUCGCACUGUCCAUGACCAGCUUGAUAGCACAGGACGGAAACUAUUGUGCUCUCUCACAUCACAAGAAGAUGCUGUAAUGUUACAGAGCCGUUUGGAUGAGAUGAAUCAAAGGUGGCAUCAUCUGGAGGGACGUAGUGUUGCCAUUAGAAACCGUUUAGAAUCAAACUCAGAGCACUGGAAUGCAUUGUUAUUGUCGUUAAGGGAGCUGACCGAAUGGGUUAUUCGCAAGGAUACUGAGUUAACUUCGUUGGAUCUGUGCCCAAUGAAAGGCAAUGCGACUAAUUUACAGAAACGUAUGGAUGAUCAUCGUGCUUUCCGCCGCCAGCUAGAAGACAAACGCCCUUUGAUAGAAAACAAUUUGUUAAGUGGGAGACAAUAUACUGCAAAUGAACUACAUGUAUCCGAUACUAGUGAUUCAGAAGCAGCUAUUGAUAGUGAGUCGCGAUACAUGUCAACCGAGGAGCAAAACAGGGAACUAACCCGAAGUAUUUGCCGUGAAGUUAAUAAAUUAUCCGAGCAAUGGAAACAGUUGAUUAACCGUUCAGAAAAAUGGAAACAUCGAUUGGACGAAUUCAUGACGAAAAUGAGACAAUUCCAAAAAGUUCUGGAAGAUCUGGGUUCUCGUGUUGCAUCUGCCGAAACACUUACCUAUUCAUGGACUAGCCCCACUAGUACAUCCAAAGCUACUGAAGAAAUGCAACACCUGCAACGUUUAAAGGACAAAAUGACCACUGCUGGAGCGCUUUUGGAUGAUUGCAAAGAACAGCAAAGUUUCCUCACAACUAAUCACCUGCUUGUACCUGUUCAUUGUCUUGCUAAGCUUGAGGAUUUAAAUACACGAAUUAACGUAUUACAUAUAGCUAUGGAUGAACGACAUAAAACCCUGACGGCAUAUGGUGCAAACAAACCCCAUACUUCCGAUGUAUACAAUGUGUCGACAUUUGGUGAUAGUACUGUUAACGUUGGCCAGAUUCCAAAUUUAGCGGCAAGUGUAAAGCCGCCUUGGGAAAGAGCUACAACGCCAGCCACAGUGCCUUAUUAUAUAAACCACGAAAGAGAGGAUACGCAUUGGGAUCACCCUGAAAUGAUUGAACUGAUGAAAUUACUUGCCGAAUUUAAUAACGUUAGGUUCUCCGCUUAUAGAACUGCGUUAAAGUUACGAACAGUACAGAAAAGAUUGGCGUUUGACCAAUUAGCAAUGGAUGUUACGAUAGAGGCAUUUGAUAGACAUGGUCUAAGAGCUCAGAAUGACAAAUUAAUAGAUAUCCCGGAUAUGACGACAGUAUUAUUUUCAUUGUAUGUCACCAUUGAAUCAAUUGACAUGGCAAUGAUGCUUGAUCUAGCUGUCAAUUGGAUUCUUAAUGUAUAUGACUCGCAGCGUACUGGACAAAUUCGUGUUCUUAGUUUUAAGGUUGGCCUAAUACUAUUAUGUAAAGGAAAUCUUGAAGAAAAAUAUCGCUAUUUGUUUCGACUGAUUGCCGAUUUGGAGAAAAAAGUCGACCAGCGUAAGUUAGGAUUACUGCUACAUGACUGCAUACAAGUUCCAAGACAGCUGGGAGAGGUGGCAGCAUUUGGAGGAUCGAAUAUCGAACCCUCUGUGCGUUCCUGUUUCGAACGUGCAGGUGUAAAUCAACCACUUGAAAAUACUAUUGAGGCCCAGAAUUUUUUGAAUUGGCUUCAACAUGAACCACAAAGCUUAGUGUGGCUUCCAGUAUUGCAUAGAUUAGUAGCUGCGGAAACCGCAAAACAUCAAGCUAAAUGCAACAUUUGUAAAGAAUAUCCAAUAGUUGGAUUUCGCUACCGUUGUUUGAAAUGUUUUAAUUUUGACAUGUGUCAGAAUUGUUUCUUUUUAGGUCGCAAUGCUAAAAAUCACAAGCUUUCUCAUCCUAUGCACGAGUAUUGCACCACUACCACUUCCACAGAAGACGUCAGAGACUUUACUCGAGCGCUUCGAAACAAAUUUAAGAGCAGAAAAUACUUCAGAAAACACCCUCGUGUGGGUUAUUUGCCCGUACAGAGUGUACUUGAAGGGGACGCUUUAGAAAGUCCUGCGCCUAGUCCUCAACAUGGCACACAUGCAUUGCAAAACGAUAUGCACACUAGACUUGAGAUGUAUGCAUCACGUUUAGCACAAGUUGAGUACGGCACGUGUAGUAAUUCAACUCCUGACAGUGAUGAUGAACAUCAACUGAUAGCACAAUAUUGUCAAUCUCUUCCUAAUAACGGUGCUCCGAAAUCACCUGUUCAAGUCAUGGUAAUCAUGGAUGCAGAACAACGAGAAGAACUAGAGGCAAUUAUCAAAGACUUGGAAGAAGAAAAUGCUUCGUUGCAGGCAGAGUUUGAACAGUUGAAAUCCAAACAAACUCCAACAAUAACUCCGGACGAGAUGCAAUCUAAAAAUGCACCUGCGGGAGAAAAUCAGGACAUGAUUACCGAAGCUAAACUAUUGCGCCAACACAAAGGGCGAUUGGAAGCAAGGAUGCAAAUUUUAGAAGACCAUAAUAGGCAAUUAGAAGCACAACUACUACGGCUAAGACAGUUAUUGGAUGAGCCAAAUUCAGCUAAGGUUUCUACUCUUCAAACGAGAUCUGUGACUGCAUCUCAGCUUAAUACCGAAUCACCAGCCAAACUUCAACAGAACGGAAAUUAUGAACAAUACACAAGCACGGAAAACAGCGCAGCAGGAAGAACCGCAACUUUUCAAAUGGCAACUAACAACCUCGGUCUUGUUGGAGGUGACGAUCAUAAUAAUCAUAUACUUUUAUUUGAUGGUGGAAAGAAUGUCGGGAUCACCAACUCUACAGAUGCGAGGCCUCCUCCUCCUCAGCAUACAAAUCUAUUGCAUAUGGCGGGUUUUCCGUAGAAUAUCAAAAAAUCGGUAAAAGAUCGGAAGCUUCAAAAUAUUCAAGUUAUAUUGCAUAGAACGUUUCAACGUUUCAGAAAAUCAAAGUAAUUUGAACCAAGCAGUUGAAGAUUUGGUGAACGCCAUUACAGAAGAGGACGUCGAAGAUAAUGUAUAGUCUCUGGGUAUCAGCUCGGCAUCGUCAACGAUACCGAAAAAAUAUCAUUAAGUAAAAAUUGAAAAAUAUAUUCAUAAAGAGAAUUUAAUUUUAGGAAUUUGCACUUAGAUCACUUUAUAAUCAACAAUAAUUACUAAGCAUAUGCAGUUAUUACCAUUGUCAAGUAAUAAAAGUAGUAAGUAACAUAUCCGAGUAAUGUAAAUUCAAUCAAUAUUUACUUCUAUGAAUAUGUUUUAAUAAUUUCGAAAAGCGAUGCAUCAGUUUUGCCUCUAUUCAUUUUUACACGUGUGCAUUUUUGGUCGAUAAGACGGCUCCCGCUAUUGCGAUGCUCUGAAAAUUUUUUCUCUAUUUUUCGAAAUAGAAUAAUUCAAUUACAUCUAUGAAUAUACUAAUGUUAUACUAAUAGUGAGUUAAUCAAAUUUGAAUGCAUGUAAAUUUUCAGUUAUACACAAAAACAUUUAAUGUUGGCCGAAAACUCAAAACAUUGCAAAACUGUGCAAAGCGAAAUUAAUCUAGUGUUCGUAAGAAACAAGCAAAUUUGGUAACUAAUCAUCAACAGUAACAAGUACGAAUAUAGAUGCCUAAAUUUCGAAUAGUCGGCGCACUCGAAUUGGUUCUACGAAUUUUUUUUGUGAAAAUUCAACACAUGUUGAAACUAUUCAAAAAUCUACCAAAAUAUGGAACAUUCAUUAUAAAUCCGUAAAUUUACAGUCAAAUCUGUAAAAAUAUCAAUAUAGUUCAAGCAUUUUUAUAAGACAGCUGAAAAAAUGAAUCUUGCUAAUUAAUCCCAAUUAGAAAAUCACUUUAAUUACUCAAACGAUGUGUAAAUGUAUGUGCGAUAUCUGACUAAUGUUAUAAAUGAUAUUAUAUGGAUAAAUAUCUUCACACAUAUCACUAAUUGUAUGAGUUGCCUUACCUUGAACGAAAUUGAAAAAAAAAUCAAAUUUUAGGCAUGUUUAUUUAAAUUCCACUCAAUAUUAUCAACAGUUAAUAAACAAAGAAAUUAAUAACUAAAAUAUAUAAGCAUUGAUUAGGCAACGCGUGGAAACUUUAAAAUUUAAAUGAGUUGCUAUUAUUUGAAUAAAGGUAGGUAAGCGUUUGAAUCAUGCAUAUGAGAUAAACCUCCCCAUUUUCUAAUGAUUUAAACGCAGUUUUUAACAUACAGGCAGAAAUAUUAUGCGCCUACUAAGUAUUCAAUAAAUGUAACUAUUGAAACGUUAAA
This is an RNA transcript of Malaya genurostris, 10642 nucleotides long. It is a transcript of the gene named dystrophin, isoforms A/C/F/G/H, with no coding region annotated. Lineage: Eukaryota; Metazoa; Arthropoda; Insecta; Diptera; Culicidae. The transcript is spliced from 30 exons. The record is from RefSeq and is a predicted model, not a curated record.